Molecule: ribosomal RNA, 443 nt
Filed under: uncultured bacterium
Lineage: Bacteria
Description: partial 16S ribosomal RNA
Rfam family: Bacterial small subunit ribosomal RNA
Source: RNAcentral
CCUACGGGAGGCAGCAGUGGGGAAUAUUGGACAAUGGGGGGAACCCUGAUCCAGCGACGCCGCGUGAGUGAAGAAGUAUUUCGGUAUGUAAAGCUCUAUCAGCAGGGAAGAAAGAAAUGACGGUACCUGACUAAGAAGCCCCGGCUAACUACGUGCCAGCAGCCGCGGUAAUACGUAGGGGGCAAGCGUUAUCCGGAUUUACUGGGUGUAAAGGGAGCGUAGACGGCGAUGCAAGUCUGAAGUGAAAGGCGGGGGCGCAACCCCUGGACUGCUUUGGAAACUGUAUGGCUGGAGUGCAGGAGAGGUAAGUGGAAUUCCUGGUGUAGCGGUGAAAUGCGUAGAUAUUAGGAGGAACACCAGUGGCGAAGGCGGCUUACUGGACUGUAACUGACGUUGAGGCUCGAAAGCGUGGGGAGCAAACAGGAUUAGAUACCCGUGUAGUC